This is a long non-coding RNA of Pan troglodytes (chimpanzee), 2604 nucleotides long. RefSeq lists it as uncharacterized. The record is from RefSeq and is a predicted model, not a curated record. NCBI's taxonomy places the organism in Eukaryota, Metazoa, Chordata, Mammalia, Primates, Hominidae. The transcript is spliced from 8 exons.
AUUAAGUUCUGGCCCUCACGGCCUCUUUCGUGCAAAACCCCGCUGUGCAGGGACUGGGGCCGUGAACAGCUCCACAAUGAGGGACUCCAGGGAAGCUGGAGGAGAAACAGGGGGGACACAAGUGCAACACAAGAGAUCAAAAGGUGGUCGCCGGCUAAAGGUGACGGGUCCGAAUGAGGAAGUGGGUAGGGGGCCUUCCCUGCCCACACGUGGCCGUGACCUCCGCAGAGGGCUGCAGGAAGGAGCUCAAUGCGGAACCGCGAAGGCUGCUGCAGCCCUCAGAUCUAACGCCUUUGACGCGUUGGAGCUUGUCAGCGAUAAAACCUGACGUGUGAAAAAAGAACAAAGGGAAGUCGGAAGGCUAGUGUAUAUCAAAGGAAAGGGGCUCCACGAAAUGCUACAAAGAAAUACUUCAGCCCAAAAUGUUUUCGCAAUUUGAGACGCUGAUGCAGCCGCCGCUGCUCCACCUGCAACUCUGAGCGUUGCCUUCUCUUUAACUGCCACUUUGAUACCGCAGCCUUUUGAAGUCCUUUUUCCUACAUGUAUUUGUAAUUUAUUUCUGCAACAGCUAGAACUUACUGUGGCUGCUGUUUACCCUCUAGUUGGGCUCUACUGCGAGGCAAGGCAAAAGUCAGGUCAGUCGGCGCCCUCUCCUGGUAAAGCUGCGAAGCUGCAGCAAACAGAGCUAAAUUGGUAUUUUCCCGUUUGCUGCGGCAAAUUUUUAUUAAAGUAUACCCUAUAUUUAUGAUUAUUAAACUUUAGUGUUCGCCAGAAUCGCCUGCAGGCCUCCUUAAAACAAGAUGUCUAAGUCCCCACCCCCACCUCCCCGCCGGAUUUCUGAUUCACUAGGUCUGGAGUGGAGCACAAUACAUUUGCAUUUCUAGCAAGUUCCCAGGUGAUGCUGGUAGAGCACACGCCCAGAACCACCGCCAGGUACACAAGUCACUGGACAAGGUGGGAAGGCAUCUCACUCAAUCAACGGACCUUAUUCUAAAGCGGGAAGGGCACUGAGAGUAUAGGGAGGGUAUCUCUCAAAUGAGGAGCCUAUGACCUGCUUCAGGGGAAGGCCAACAACUUCUUGGAUUUUAUGACCUGCUUCAGGGGAGAAGGACAAGGGAAGUACAGUGCCUACAACAAUGCAAAGGCUAGAAGGAAUGAAGGCAGGGACAUGGAAUGGAGAAUUUCCAUUUCACAGAUCCACAUAAACUGAAAAGGAACAAGAGUCGGUGAGACCAAAGAGCACUGAAGGCCAUGAACCAUCACCAUUCUCAACCCCUGGGCCAGGCAAGAAAAGCCACAGUUCCUGGAAGGGAUGACGACAGGACCUAACAGACACAGUGACCAAAGCUACAGGGGCCUCCAGAGGAAACGGUGAGAACCACAGGAGAAAGGGGGUCUUUGCUGCUGACGGCGAGCACCCAAGCCCAAGCUCCCAGUGGUGAUCUCUCACAAGACCACACAGCCGAUUUCCCUGGAGACAGCACAACCUGUUAAGGGCAUCUUCCAUGCCAUUAAGGGAGUCCCUAUGAAAAUCAUGGAGUCUUGGGACAUCUGAGGCGAGAGGAAAGACGGCAAAAGCAGAGGCAAAGACAGAAAUAAAUCUUCUCUUCUUUUCUUGGGCUUACUGAAUUAUUUUCAUCCAUGCCCUUUUAAAAUAUGGUUGGUAGAAAUUUGCCGUUUGAGACUAGAAUCCCAUUCGGAAUCAUGUAAGUCUCUUUUGACUCCACGAGGACAUCUUUCACCCAGUUUUGGGAAAUCUGAGGAAUGGAUUCUUCUACAGACUCUGAUAAAAUAUCACAAGGUCCAAGAGUUGGUGUGAGAAAGAGGACAUCAAGAUUAUUCCCUAGGAUCAUUUAUUAUGUGCCUACUGCAUGCAAGGCACAGUGGGAAUACAGAUACAAAGAUAAAUAAGAUUGUCUCUGCCCUGAAGAAAACUAUAAUUUCUGUGUGUAGAAAGACACACAACUGACUCUUCUAUCACAGACCAUCCAAGUUCUGACAGAGUCACUAGAGGUUUCUGAACAUGAUGGAUGUGAACGUGGUAGACAUACAAAGGAAGGCAAGAAGGUAUCUCAACACAGCAGAACAAGACCCCAUGAGGAGCCCAGAAAAAAAAUAAAGAAGUUUCCUCACUGGUUAGGAAUUCAAAAGCAGUCCUGGCAACCUCAUAGCAUCUUUACCUCAGAAGCAGGCAGCUCUGGUUACUCCACCAUUUUCAGGAACAAGGUUUUUCUCUCCUCCUCUGCUGCAUUUCCUCUGCUGCUCCUGAUCCGUCUGCCUCUACCUUCUUCCUACCAUCAAAUUUCCUCCCAGGAGACAACAUGAAUGGGUUAAGAAGUACCUAACGAGGGCUGCUCCAACUGGACAGCAUCUUUGAAACUGGGACCUCACAGGUGGUCAUCACAGGCCCCUGAUGCCUGGGUACCCAGCGACCAUCCCCAGUCUAGUCUGUCUAUAGCAACAUAGGUGAAGGGGAGUCUCAGGGGCUGCCUAAGGGGCUCAGAAUGUGGUGAGUACUUAAGACUGCAUGGAUUUUCACUGUUUACAUGAAUAUAGGACAAGUAUUCACAGAACUAUUAGCUAGAUCUGUGAACAAAACAUUAA